RNAcentral lists this ribosomal RNA (385 nucleotides) under Cutibacterium acnes. RNAcentral describes it as "bacterial SSU rRNA". It matches the Rfam family "Bacterial small subunit ribosomal RNA", at positions 45 to 394 of the family's 1533-position model. The record is from RNAcentral. Lineage: Bacteria; Bacillati; Actinomycetota; Actinomycetes; Propionibacteriales; Propionibacteriaceae.
CGUGCUUAACACAUGCAAGUCGAACGGAAAGGCCCUGCUUUUGUGGGGUGCUCGAGUGGCGAACGGGUGAGUAACACGUGAGUAACCUGCCCUUGACUUUGGGAUAACUUCAGGAAACUGGGGCUAAUACCGGAUAGGAGCUCCUGCUGCAUGGUGGGGGUUGGAAAGUUUCGGCGGUUGGGGAUGGACUCGCGGCUUAUCAGCUUGUUGGUGGGGUAGUGGCUUACCAAGGCUUUGACGGGUAGCCGGCCUGAGAGGGUGACCGGCCACAUUGGGACUGAGAUACGGCCCAGACUCCUACGGGAGGCAGCAGUGGGGGAAAUAUUUGCACAAAUGGGGCGGGAAAGCCCUGAAUGCAAGCAAACCGCCCGGCGUUGCCGGGGAA